Molecule: ribosomal RNA, 528 nt
Filed under: Triticum aestivum (bread wheat)
Lineage: Eukaryota; Viridiplantae; Streptophyta; Magnoliopsida; Poales; Poaceae
Description: partial small subunit ribosomal RNA
Source: RNAcentral
AUGGAGUCGUCGCAGUCACGGCAGAAGAGCGCCCUGUCGUCCACGCAGAAGACGAAGGCCGGCUUGUCCUGGCACACGUCGCAGCGCGGGAGGCCGGGGGCGGCCUCGAGCGGCAGGCGCUGGUGCUUGCUGGCCAGCUUGUUGGCGGCGUGGAUCUGCACGUCGCAGCGCGCGCACAGCGCCGCCUCGUCUGCACAGCACACCACCGUCGCCGCCGCGCCCUCGCACGCGUCGCACUGGAUCCUCAUGCCUUCACUUCCUGGCUUUGGUCGCUCGCUCUACGGCUCAGCUCAGCUCAGCUCAGGCUUCACGUGCGUGCGUCGAUCAGCUACUGGUCGAGAAAUGAUGGGAGAUGGGAGUGGAGAGGCGACGGCGAGGAACGAGCGGCGUAUAAAUUGCUGCGACGUGCACGGGCGCGCACGCUGGAGCUUCGUGUGGACGAGAGAGGCCCUGCAGUUAGGCGACGGCCGGUCACUGAUGAGCAGUGCCUCUCGCCGCGACCGGGAAUUUGAUUUGGCUUCGAUUUGA